This 968-nucleotide long non-coding RNA is filed under the name Homo sapiens (human). RNAcentral describes it as "HSALNT0387969". Lineage: Eukaryota; Metazoa; Chordata; Mammalia; Primates; Hominidae. The record is from RNAcentral.
GGUUCACGCCAUUCUCCUGCCUCAGCCUCCCGAGUAGCUGGGGUUACAGGCGUGAGCCACCACGCCCGGCCUAAUUUUUUUUAUUUUUAGUAGAGACGGCUUUCACCAUGUUAGCCAGGAGGGUCUGGAUCUCCUGACCUCGUGAUCCACCCACCUCGGCCUCCCACAGUGCUGGGAUGAUGGGCCUGAGCCACCGCGCCCGGCCGGAAAUGAGUCUUAAGCAACUGCUGGUAGUGAUGCCUCUGAAGUGGACUAACGGAAAACAGCGCGUGACAGAGGACAACGUCUUAAAAAACGCUGAAGAAUUUAUCAUCCGUUCCAAGUUAGAGUUCACUUGCUACAAAUGCUCAGAACUGAUGAUGUUUUUUUAAAAAAGCAACAUACUUUCUACGUACAGCAUUAUUGCUCCAAUGAAUUAAUGCCAACAAAUGUGCUCGGUAUUGCUUCCAGAUUCUUCAAGUAACUGUACUCCUUGGAAUGGUCAACCCAGUCCCAUCUGUCCUUGAUUACUUAAUUUGCAGUCACCGGGGAGUUCAAAAUGACUUUUCCACAGUGAAGAUGGAAGCACACCUGGGCAGCAGAACGAGUGAUGUGGGCUCAGCUCACAGACCUUCUCACACAGGGAUGUAACAGGCGGCAGAAAGAAGGAAUUCCCUCCCCGCGAGAAGGCUUGGGAAGGACAGUCUCCAUGUUCCGGGAGACUCUGGACUUUAAGGAAGAUUCCUUCCUGCUCUAGCUUAUCUUUUUUAGCUUUUUUUUAAAGUAUUUUUUUUGCUGAUUAACUCCACUCUGCCAAUAGUGUGUCCUCUCAAAGGACUCCAAGUUCCCACAGUGCAUAUGUAUCCAAUUUUAUUGCUUUGCACUUGAUAUACGGCUUUGUAACUGCUCAAGGCAUAUUUUUGUGAACAUUAUGUUUCUGUCUCCCAUACUCUACCCUAAGCUUCUUAACAAUAAAAAUCAUGCCCUGC